UAGUACUGGAAAGGACAUAUGAUCCUAAAACUGGGUUGGAAUGCCUGAUCUUUAAGCCUAGUCAUGCUUCAAGUUUACAAGAUCUUGGAUUGGCUUCUUAUCACCUCCUGAGUAUUGUAACUGAUCUUGAUAGUGCUCGCUGGCACUUAGAAACGUGGGAUGUGUAACCAAUUUGCUGUAGUUAGUGGUGUUAGCCUCUUGUGAUGAUAGGAACCACCAUUCUUGAGAUAUGGGAAUGGUAAAACUAAGUCACUUUUUGAUUGAAAUAACUAAGAAGCUGCUUCUGCACUGACAGGGAUUGUGAAAUUUGAGAUGCCUAGUCUAUGAAAAUUCACAUGGAUUGCAUCAGAAAUGCAUAGCUCUAUACUUUUCAA
This 374-nucleotide long non-coding RNA is filed under the name Coffea arabica (coffee). Its description in RNAcentral is "long non-coding RNA (CARA_LNC005563)". Lineage: Eukaryota; Viridiplantae; Streptophyta; Magnoliopsida; Gentianales; Rubiaceae. The record is from RNAcentral.